Molecule: long non-coding RNA, 116 nt
Organism: Caenorhabditis elegans
Lineage: Eukaryota; Metazoa; Nematoda; Chromadorea; Rhabditida; Rhabditidae
Gene: linc-118
Product: ncRNA
Source: Ensembl
CGGGUUACCCUUGUGCUCUGUGCUUUUGGGUAUCUAGGCCGCGAUUUAAUUGAAAAUGGAUUUUUUUUUUUGAAAUAUGGGUUCAAAUUAAAAAAUAAAAAUAAAAAAAAUUUUGG